CCUACGGGAGGCAGCAGUGGGGAAUUUUGGACAAUGGGCGAAAGCCUGAUCCAGCCAUGCCGCGUGCGGGAAGAAGGCCUUCGGGUUGUAAACCGCUUUAGUCCGGGAAAAAGGGGUGCGAGGAUAAUACCCUUGUGCUUUGAUGGUACUGGAAGAAUAAGCACCGGCUAACUACGUGCCAGCAGCCGCGGUAAU
This 195-nucleotide ribosomal RNA is filed under the name uncultured bacterium. RNAcentral describes it as "partial 16S ribosomal RNA". It matches the Rfam family "Bacterial small subunit ribosomal RNA", at positions 338 to 524 of the family's 1533-position model. The record is from RNAcentral.